RNAcentral lists this ribosomal RNA (254 nucleotides) under uncultured bacterium. Its description in RNAcentral is "partial 16S ribosomal RNA". It matches the Rfam family "Bacterial small subunit ribosomal RNA", at positions 524 to 776 of the family's 1533-position model. The record is from RNAcentral.
UACGGAGGGCGCGAGCGUUGUCCGGAAUCACUGGGCGUAAAGGGCGCGUAGGCGGCCCUGGUAAGUCUGCGGUGAAAGCCCGGGGCUCAACCCCGGGUCGGCCGCGGGUACUGCCGGGCUGGAGUGCCGUAGGGGCAGGCGGAAUUCCGGGUGUAGCGGUGGAAUGCGUAGAGAUCCGGAGGAAGACCGGUGGCGAAGGCGGUCUGCUGGGCAGUUUCUGACACUGAGAAGCGAAAGCAUGGGGAGCGAACAGG